Molecule: ribosomal RNA, 301 nt
Filed under: uncultured bacterium
Lineage: Bacteria
Description: partial 16S ribosomal RNA
Rfam family: Bacterial small subunit ribosomal RNA
Source: RNAcentral
CAGUAGCCGCGGGAAUCCGAAGGGUGCAAGCGUUAAUCGGAAUUACUGGGCGUAAAGCGUGCGUAGGCGGUUUGUUAAGUCUGUUGUGAAAUCCCCGGGCUCAACCUGGGAAUGGCAAUGGAUACUGGCAAGCUAGAGUGUGUCAGAGGAUGGUGGAAUUCCCGGUGUAGCGGUGAAAUGCGUAGAGAUCGGGAGGAACAUCAGUGGCGAAGGCGGCCCUCUGGGACAACACUGACGCUGAGGCACGAAAGCGUGGGGAGCAAACAGGAUUAGAUACCCGAGUAGUCCCUGUCUCUUAUAC